GCGGAUAUGUUUACAUGGAAGCGUUCUUAGCGGCGGACGGGUGAGUAACACGUGGGUAACCUGCCUCAAAGUGGGGGAUAGCCUUCCGAAAGGAAGAUUAAUACCGCAUAAGCCUACAGUGCCGCAUGGCACAGCAGGAAAAGGAGCAAUCCGCUUUGAGAUGGACCCGCGGCGCAUUAGCUAGUUGGUGAGGUAAUGGCUCACCAAGGCGACGAUGCGUAGCCGACCUGAGAGGGUGAUCGGCCACAUUGGAACUGAGACACGGUCCAGACUCCUACGGGAGGCAGCAGUGGGGAAUAUUGCACAAUGGGCGAAAGCCUGAUGCAGCAACGCCGCGUGAGUGAUGAAGGCCUUCGGGUCGUAAAGCUCUUUGAUCAGGGAUGAUAAUGACAGUACCUGAAAAACAAGCCACGGCUAACUACGUGCCAGCAGCCGCGGUAAUACGUAGGUGGCGAGCGUUGUCCGGAAUUACUGGGCGUAAAGGAUGCGUAGGUGGAUACUUAAGUGGGAUGUGAAAUCCCCGGGCUCAACCCGGGAACUGCAUUCCAAACUGGGUAUCUAGAGUGCAGGAGAGGAAAGCGGAAUUCCUAGUGUAGCGGUGAAAUGCGUAGAUAUUAGGAGGAACACCAGUGGCGAAGGCGGCUUUCUGGACUGUAACUGACACUGAGGCAUGAAAGCGUGGGUAGCAAACAGGAUUAGAUACCCUGGUAGUCCACGCCGUAAACGAUGGGUACUAGGUGUAGGAGGUAUCGACCCCUUCUGUGCCGUCGUUAACACAAUAAGUACCCCGCCUGGGGAGUACGGUCGCAAGACUAAAACUCAAAGGAAUUGACGGGGGCCCGCACAAGCAGCGGAGCAUGUGGUUUAAUUCGAAGCAACGCGAAGAACCUUACCUAGACUUGACAUCUCCUGAAUUACCCUUAACCGGGGAAGCCCUUCGGGGCAGGAAGACAGGUGGUGCAUGGUUGUCGUCAGCUCGUGUC
RNAcentral lists this ribosomal RNA (983 nucleotides) under uncultured bacterium. RNAcentral describes it as "bacterial SSU rRNA". It matches the Rfam family "Bacterial small subunit ribosomal RNA", at positions 66 to 1066 of the family's 1533-position model. The record is from RNAcentral.